Tuber magnatum (white Piedmont truffle) is the source of this 73-nucleotide non-coding RNA. The record is from the annotation of a GenBank genome assembly. Lineage: Eukaryota; Fungi; Ascomycota; Pezizomycetes; Pezizales; Tuberaceae.
GGUUUUGUGGUGUAGUUGGUAUUACGCCAGUCUAACAGACUGGUGGUCUCCGGUUCGGUCCCGGUCGAAAUUA